CGAAUUUAUUUUGGCGGAAAAAUUAUAUUUGGAAUAUUUUAGGUGGGAAAAAUCAAUAGUUCACUUUGUAAACCUAAAACAUUUUCAAAAUAGGGAUAACAUGUUCAUUAAAAGUUAAAAGAGGGUAUAAAUGAAAAUGGUCAAGAGGAAGAGGCAUAAUUAAAACAGGACAGUCUUGAAAGAGCAUUCUUAUUAAUUUCUCAAAAUUCUAUACAACAUAUUUUAAUUUCAUAAA
RNAcentral lists this small RNA (235 nucleotides) under Arabidopsis thaliana (thale cress). RNAcentral describes it as "ATSL209640". Lineage: Eukaryota; Viridiplantae; Streptophyta; Magnoliopsida; Brassicales; Brassicaceae. The record is from RNAcentral.